RNAcentral lists this ribosomal RNA (239 nucleotides) under Petalops ambiguus. RNAcentral's name for it is "partial large subunit ribosomal RNA". Lineage: Eukaryota; Metazoa; Arthropoda; Insecta; Hemiptera; Coreidae. The record is from RNAcentral.
AGGGACUAACUUUCUUUACUUAAAUUUAAUGAAUUUGAUUUUUGAGUUAAAAAGCUUAAAUUAUUUUGUAAGACGAGAAGACCCUAUAGAAUUUUACUUUCAUUAUUUUAUUUUUUAUUUUGGUGUUUAUUUAGUUAAUAAUUAUUUUGUAAGUUUUGUUGGGGCGAUAGUGAAAAUUGAAUAACUUUCAUUUUUAUUUUUCAUUAAUUAAUGUGUCAUUGAUCCCAUUUUAUGGAUUA